This 72-nucleotide transfer RNA is filed under the name Candidatus Micrarchaeum sp. AZ1. It matches the Rfam family "tRNA". Rfam says of the family: Transfer RNA (tRNA) molecules are approximately 80 nucleotides in length. Their secondary structure includes four short double-helical elements and three loops (D, anti-codon, and T loops). Lineage: Archaea; Nanobdellati; Microcaldota; Candidatus Micrarchaeia; Candidatus Micrarchaeales; Candidatus Micrarchaeaceae. The record is from Rfam by way of RNAcentral. RNAcentral also lists the same sequence under 3 other names.
GCCCGAGUAGCUCAAUGGUAGAGCGACUGGCUGUUAACCAGUAGGUUGCAGGUCCGAUUCCCGCCUCGGGCG